RNAcentral lists this ribosomal RNA (773 nucleotides) under uncultured Neocallimastigales. RNAcentral's name for it is "partial large subunit ribosomal RNA". It matches the Rfam family "Eukaryotic large subunit ribosomal RNA", at positions 24 to 642 of the family's 3401-position model. The record is from RNAcentral. Lineage: Eukaryota; Fungi; Neocallimastigomycota; Neocallimastigomycetes; Neocallimastigales.
UAUGUGAUCGUCUCUCGCAUAUCAAUAAGCGGAGGAAAAGAAACUAACAAGGAUUCCCCUAGUAACGGCGAGUGAAGCGGGAAGAGCUCAAAUUUGAAAUCUUAAAGGGUUUCCCUUUACGAAUUGUAGUUUAAAGAAGUGUUUUCUGUUGAGGUUUUGGUAAAAGUUCUUUGGAAUAGGACAUCAUAGAGGGUGAGAAUCCCGUAUUUGACCUUUACUUUCAACUUUGUGAUACACUUUCAAAGAGUCGGAUUGUUUGGGAAUGCAGUCCAAAAUGGGUGGUAAAUUUCAUCUAAAGCUAAAUAUUGGCGAGAGACCGAUAGCGAACAAGUACCGUGAGGGAAAGAUGAAAAGAACUUUGAAAAGAGAGUUAAACAGUACGUGAAAUUGUCAAAAGGGAAGCGUUUGACACCAGUGUUGUUUUUCUGAAAAUCAAUUAAAGAACUGUUUAUGCUAAGUUGUUUAGACUUUAUCAGCUAUCUGUUUAGUUUUGAGCUUUUCUUUAAUGCACUUUUCAGUUAACAAGUCAACAUCAAUUUCUUUUGCUGUAAAAAAGCUUGAGGAAGGUGGCUUGAGAUUCGUCUUAAGUGUUUAUAGCCUCUUGCCUAUGCAGUCGGAGAGAUUGAGGUCUGCAGCGUAGAUCCUUCGGGGCUAAAUGCAUUUGUGCUAAGUUAUAGCAUUUUAUAGACAACUUGUUGACUAUGAUUUGUCUUGUAGCUUACUCGCUUAUGUUAUUUUACCUACGCUUAGGAUGUUGAUAUGCAUGACUGAUA